CCUAUUUACAAGGAGCAGGAAAAGGGUAUUAUAGACCUACUAACCUGCAGGUAUCAUAGACCUACUAACCUGCAGGAAUUAUAGACCUAAUAAACUGCAGGUAUCAUAGACCUACUAACCUGCAGCUAUCAUAGACCUACUAACCUGCAGGAAUUAUGGAGAAUCAUUCCUGGCUGUUGUAGGAUGCUGCUGAGUACACAGGUUGAAGAUGAGGUUCUGUAAUGUCUUCUUUAGUGUUGACCGAAUCGAAGUCCACAAAGUGAAGCCGAAUAAAUUUGCCCUGAAAUGGUGGUAAAAAAAAAAAAAUCAUAUUUACCUCAUCUGUUUGAGCGUGAAGAGCCGGCUGCCGCCAUCUUGAUUAAAGAUCCAGAGCAAAAUCCAGUGCGCGGUGAUGUAUGACAUCAACACGCGAGCCAAUGUGAUGACGUCAUCACAGGGCAUGCAAGAUUUCAUGCUAGAUCUUCAAUGAAGAUGGCGGCAGACGGCUCUUGGCGAUCAAAUGAAUGAGGGUAAGUAUAAUUUUAUUAUUUUGGCAUCUGAGGGGUACAAUGAUGGGUACGGCACAAUCACUGUUCCCUGUCAUUGCACCCAAUGCUUAC
Bufo bufo (common toad) is the source of this 599-nucleotide long non-coding RNA. RefSeq lists it as uncharacterized. NCBI's taxonomy places the organism in Eukaryota, Metazoa, Chordata, Amphibia, Anura, Bufonidae. The record is from RefSeq and is a predicted model, not a curated record. The transcript has 4 exons.